CUUUUCCCCCUUUGCUUCACAGAUAUCAUGCAGGACACAGCAGGCAGCUUUAACCAUUGGGAAAUUUUUCUCACUGAGAUCCGAUCUUGUGAGUAAACAGCACCAGCACCUCUUCAACUAACCAAAGGAACAUUCAA
Molecule: long non-coding RNA, 137 nt
Organism: Chelonia mydas (Green sea turtle)
Lineage: Eukaryota; Metazoa; Chordata; Testudines; Cheloniidae
Exons: 3
Source: RefSeq, a predicted model, not a curated record